UGCGAGUCAACGUAGCAAUACGUGGCAUACGGCUCAGUAACACGUAGUCAACAUAACCAAAGGACGUGGAUAAACUCGGGAAACUGAGGCUAAACCGCGAUAGACCAAGAUACCUGGAAUGGUUUUUGAUUGAAAUCUAUAUGGCCUUUGGAUUGGACUGCGUCCGAUCAGGCUGUUGGUGAGGUAAUGGCCCACCAAACCUAUAACCGGUACGGGCUCUGAGAGGAGGAGCCCGGAGAUGGGUACUGAGACAAGGACCCAGGCCCUAUGGGGCGCAGCAGGCGCGAAACCUCUGCAAUAGGCGAAAGCUUGACAGGGUUACUCUGAGUGACUUUCGCUAAGAAAGUCUUUUGGCACCUCUAAAAAUGGUGCAGAAUAAGGGGUGGGCAAGUCUGGUGUCAGCCGCCGCGGUAAUACCAGCACCCCGAGUGGUCGGGACGAUUAUUGGGCCUAAAGCAUCCGUAGCCGGCCUUACAAGUCCCCCGUUAAAUCCAACUGCUUAACAGAUGGGCUGCGGAGGAUACUAUAAGACUAGGAGGCAGGAGAGGCAAGCGGUACUCAGUGGGUAGGGGUAAAAUCCGUUGAUCCAUUGAAGACCACCAGUGGCGAAGGCGGCUUGCCAGAAUGCGCUCGACGGUGAGGGAUGAAAGCUGGGGGAGCAAACCGGAUUA
RNAcentral lists this ribosomal RNA (671 nucleotides) under uncultured soil archaeon. RNAcentral's name for it is "bacterial SSU rRNA". It matches the Rfam family "Archaeal small subunit ribosomal RNA", at positions 52 to 731 of the family's 1478-position model. The record is from RNAcentral.